Molecule: ribosomal RNA, 465 nt
Filed under: uncultured bacterium
Lineage: Bacteria
Description: partial 16S ribosomal RNA
Rfam family: Bacterial small subunit ribosomal RNA
Source: RNAcentral
CUACGGGGGGCUCCAGUGGGGAAUAUUGCACAAUGGGCGCAAGCCUGAUGCAGCCAUGCCGCGUGUAUGAAGAAGGCCUUCGGGUUGUAAAGUACUUUCAGCGGGGAGGAAGGGAGUAAAGUUAAUACCUUUGCUCAUUGACGUUACCCGCAGAAGAAGCACCGGCUAAGUCCGUGCCAGCAGCCGCGGUAAUACGGGGGGUGCAAGCGUUAAUCGGAAUUACUGGGCGUAAAGCGCACGCAGGCGGUUUGUUAAGUCAGAUGUGAAAUCCCCGGGCUCAACCUGGGAACUGCAUCUGGAUACUGGCAAGCUUGAGUCUCGUAGAGGGGGGUAGAAUUCCAGGUGUAGCGGUGAAAUGCGUAGAGAUCUGGAGGAAUACCGGUGGCGAAGGCGGCCCCCUGGACGAAGACUGACGCUCAGGUGCGAAAGCGUGGGGAGCAAACAGGAUUAGAUACCCGCGUAGUC